Molecule: non-coding RNA, 24 nt
Filed under: Cricetulus griseus (Chinese hamster)
Lineage: Eukaryota; Metazoa; Chordata; Mammalia; Rodentia; Cricetidae
Source: RNAcentral
GUUGGAGGAACAAACGGACGAGGA